Molecule: long non-coding RNA, 2749 nt
Organism: Brassica napus (rape)
Lineage: Eukaryota; Viridiplantae; Streptophyta; Magnoliopsida; Brassicales; Brassicaceae
Exons: 2
Source: RefSeq, a predicted model, not a curated record
AUUCUCAUUAUGGCUUGACCUAGAAAAAGAUAAAAUAAAACAAAAUGAAUUAUUUAUACGUAUGAAAUAGUCAUAUACAUAUAGAUAUGGGAUAUAUAUCUAAUCUAAUCUAACAAUACUAAAAGCAGGAUAUCAACCUCUCUAAACGCGUCCACGUGGAUUGGAAAUUCAGACCAAUCAAAUGCAAGUUUUAUGACAUGUCAUUAGGUCAACACAUUAACAUACUGAACUUCAAUUUUAUUCGGCAAAAUCGAUUCCUUUUUUUUUCUUCUCAGUUUCUCUGCAAAACGUAUUCUGAACUUUUGAUUUCCUAUCCAAGAGUCCGCUCAUUGAUUCCUCUUCCUUUCUUCUCUCCUUCUCUACAAAACCUUUACCAUACCCAAGAGUCACUUUUUUUUUAAACUUCAGGCUUGUGAACUCUUAUUCUCGAAUUCGACUUUUGUGUGGUUCUCUUAGAAAUCCUAUUUCUGUAUUUAUGAUUCUGGAAAUUGGAAUUUUGUUUUUCGUAGUUGUAAGAUGGGGAACAUAUGAGAAAGCUGUUAUAGGCGUUUCAGAUAAAAAAAAAAAAGAAACAAGAGCUAAAGAAGGAGAAUCACGAUAAGUUACAAAGAGAUUUACGGCAAAGAUCAAAUUGAUGUGAUCUCCUCUGAACUCUGAUGGUAUCAUGGUAAAAAUAUUUGAUUCAAAAGCACUAAAAUUAUAGUGUUUUGUUUUGUUUUGUCUCUAAACAUGAUAUAAACGUCUAAACAUGAUAUAAACAUCUGAUUUGUUCGACGUGAUUUUGUGCAUUUAACAUCUGAUUUUUUCGACGUGAUUUUGUGCACUUAUGAUCCAGAGAGAGACAUAAGGCUUGCUACAAGGUCUUGAAUGGGGAAGGAAAAACCUCGAAAAACUGAAGGUUUCCGUUGGAUCUCUUGCAUUCUCUGAACCAUUUGGUUGUUGUAAGGGAACUUAUUGUUCAUCUGUGCGUUUUCUUCUUCCAAAGGGUUUUGUUUUUGUUAUCAUACAUUUUCACUUUCAAUAUUGUUAUCAUUUUUGAGUUUUAGCAGGGUAAGUAUGAUAAUAUGAAACUGAGGAAACUUCAUGAUAAAACCCACCGCGAGGAACAUAGAAUCAGAGGUGGAAAAAUUAAAGAAUGGACAUUUGACAAAAAGUAAAACUGCUUCCCUUAAUUCAUCACAUCUAGGAUCAGACUGUUGCAAUAUAUAUCAGGAUAUAUCGCGUUGCAGUGUUUAUUAUCUUUUAUUGUUCCUGCUCAUAUAUUUUUUUCUGGCCUUUUUUUCUUUAUAGGAAGAUAUUUCCAUUUGAAAACUAUAUACUUUUAAUUAGUAAACUCUAAGUAUGCUUCAAGAUUUUCAUGUCUUUUUAGUUUCUAUUCUUGAGCGUUUAACCUUUUACUAACGAUCUUUUGUUAAAACCCUUGAUUUUAGUGGCAGCUUCAGUAUGUUUCUGGAGGUAAGCACAGUUCAUCAUCAUUCUAAUGUAUUUUGUGUCCAUUUUUCCACGUCUCUAAAAGACCUAAAACUAAAUCUCACUGAACCAACCUCAUAUCUUAACCUUUUUGGAGUUCUGUGUGAUCAUGAUUUUGUGGUUUCUUUCUCACAGGUUAGCACAUUGGGGUACUUUGCAUCACAUUACCGUGUUAUGAGGAGGAAGCUUGACGAGAUUUAUGACUUGGUAACUGCUUUGAUUUUUAGGGGGUUUCAGAGGCUUACAGAAGAAACCGGUAAGGAAGAAAAUUUUAAAGUAGAAGUAUGUUUAUCAAAUGAUUUCAUUGGUUUGGAUUUCAUUAUCUAUAGUGUAUAGUCCCGGGAAUAAACUACACAUUCUUUUGUGGGUUUGGUGAGAUGUGAAAAUUAUGAGUGGAGCUCAAGUUUCGGCCGUAUGAUGCUCUCUUAAUUUUCUAUACUUUUGUACUUCUUCUAUGUAUCAACAUGCACUUAGAAUUCACGUGUUGCAUGGAGUUAUGCCAGAUGAUGUUUCUCGGUAACUCAAUUUUGCUGACCACUAUUCAGCUUUUGGCUUAAUUGAUAUGGUAUGUACUCUCACAUAGUAAUUUGUGCUUCCCCUGAGCUAUAAACCAUACAAGAGUAUGUUGCCAGCAAUCCAGGUAUUCCUCCCAGUUAAUGGUUUCUUCACUUCUUUAAAUUUGUAGCAAUCUAGAGUUGAUAUAUUGAUGGUUUUGUUUUGGUAGUUGCUUGCGGCUGGAGGUGCAAUGUAUGUGGAAGUUUUCAACAGAGUGAUUCAAUUGGCUUACAACAUCAUAAAGAGGAAUAAAGUCGGAGAAACUAACACUUACUUGGAUGGAACCUACUAUUGUUUCACUUAACCAAACUUGAAUCCAUUACUCCAGUAGAGACUGCUCUACUUCCCGUAACGACGUUAUCCGAGAAUUAGCAUAGUUUAAUAAGUAUAAAAUUGUUUUUGUUAUAGCUGGAUGAGUUAGAUGCAACGAUUUUUGAAUUGUGACUUUAUCAUUAUGCACAUGUUACAUUUCCUUUCUUCUUCUUUUUUGACUAAUGCAUGUCAUAUUUCUUGAGUCAUGAGAUUCUCUGUUUCUUUGAGGUUUAUUUCUCUGUAAGAUUCAACAAAGCUGCUCGGAUUGUGGUAUGUCUACAUCUGUGUGACUUUCUUUGAUUCAAGAGUUUUCAAUUUGAAUUCCAAGUUGUGUUUCCUUCUCUGAAGGGCAGAAGCUAGGUGCUUUUUUGACAUCCACCAAACCAGGAAUGAAAUUCUUUUAUUCGUAUUU